GACGAACGCUGGCGGCAUGCCUAACACAUGCAAGUCGAGCGAGCAGAUCCCUUCGGGGUGAAGCUAGCGGCGGACGGGUGAGUAACACGUGGGCAACCUGCCUCAUAGAGGGGAAUAGCCUUCCGAAAGGAAGAUUAAUACCGCAUAAGAUUGUAGCUUCGCAUGAAGCAGCAAUUAAAGGAGCAAUCCGCUAUGAGAUGGGCCCGCGGCGCAUUAGCUAGUUGGUGAGGUAACGGCUCACCAAGGCGACGAUGCGUAGCCGACCUGAGAGGGUGAUCGGCCACAUUGGGACUGAGACACGGCCCAGACUCCUACGGGAGGCAGCAGUGGGGAAUAUUGCACAAUGGGGGAAACCCUGAUGCAGCAAUGCCGCGUGAGUGAUGACGGCCUUCGGGUUGUAAAGCUCUGUCUUCGGGGACGAUAAUGACGGUACCCGAGGAGGAAGCCACGGCUAACUACGUGCCAGCCGCCGCAGUAA
Molecule: ribosomal RNA, 478 nt
Filed under: uncultured bacterium
Lineage: Bacteria
Description: partial 16S ribosomal RNA
Rfam family: Bacterial small subunit ribosomal RNA
Source: RNAcentral